UGGAACCAGUCCCGACAUCAGAAAAAGCGAAAAAAGAGAGAGGAAAGGAGGAGAUCUCGGUGACAAUAGACCGGUUGCAAGUUGUAAAUAUUGUUGGCUGGAAUAUCUACAGAAGAAUAAUAGAGAUUAAAAUCGAUAAGAGUGUUAUUCUGUAUCAUAAUCUUUGUUCAAGAUGCGACAUAUUGUUUUGGAAAAAGAGGCAAAGAGAUGUGGUGGAAACAUUUUAGAUUCUGUGGGUUCUACAGUUUGAGAUCCAGGUAACUCACUGGCAGAACUUCAAGGUAUGCUUUUUAUCUUUCAUAAUUUGAAAUCAUUCAUUAAUUUUUAUAUGAAUGUAAUUGUGAAUGAUAUGAAUACAAAUUUAAUUUAUUUCUUAUACUAUGAUAUGACAAAUUAUGGUUGAAACUAUAUGUAACGAAACUGUUGACAUUGUUUCAAAACUCACAAAAGUAUUAACAUUGUUUAUGAGCAUUUCUUUUUGUGGAAACAAAUAUUUAUCAGGGAAUUGCAACUUUAAUCAGUCUGUUGGAAGAAAAAACAACCAGGUUUAAAACAGAAUAGCAACUAAAGUGUCAAAGCUGCAGAGUUUCAAAUAAAAGGUUGUGAUUAAUUGUAGAGGAUGUUACGCAAGGAAUCUAAGCAUAUAGAGUGCAGAUUUUAUGCAAAAGAAUUUUGGUACCAUCUUUCUGCAAUGUUCCUUUGUCUAUUGCUCGGUUUCAUCUUGCUUGCUUAUUCUUAUUCAGAUUUUAGGAGCAGUUUGCAGGUAGAUUGUUCAACUGUCUUGAAUUCAGCUACUGAAGCACUCUCUCUCAAAUCUGAACUCUCAAUACUGCAGAAGAGUGAAGGGUAAGAGGAAAUGAGAGGAGACGGAGAUAUCGAGGAGGUUUUGAUCUGGGUUCUGCCGACAGGAGGAACGAAGAUGCAGAGGAGAGAAAGGAAAAGAAGAUGAAGAGGGAGAGCCUUCAGCAAUUAGAUACGCUCUGAUCGAAAUUCCAAGGGAUGAGAAGAGAUGAGUUUUGCAGCAGAAUCUCAGCCAAAACAGGGAAUGCCUUGAGAAAUGUAAGGAAGCUGUUGCAUUACUGAUGAUUGCUGCAGCUAGAUUUUCUGAUUUACCAGAGUACGUUGUCUGACGUUAGGCAACUAUUUCAAGAGAGAUAUGCGAACUCUCUGGCUUAUUGGGUGGAUCAAAAGUUUUUCAUGUGCUCUACUGCAUCACAACCUCAACUUUGGGAAGGCACAGGGGGCUUAUGACGAAGAAGAAUCCACAGCAAAAGCAUAUGAGUUGGCAGCACUCAAGUAGCGGGGAACAUCGACUUUUACAAAUUUUCCGGUGUAGGAUUAUGAGAAUGAAAUUGAUUUGUUGAACACUAACAAAAAGAAGAGUACUUGGCCUCUCUAAGAAGCUAUUAUUCAUCUUCAAAUUAAUAAGCAGUUGACCAGCCUCCCGUAACUGUUGUAAAAAUUUCAAGAGAUGAUUUUGAUCUAUCUAUUUACUAAUUAUUUGAUAGCUUUUUGUUUAAACCUGUUAAAUAUCAAAUUCAUACUAAAUUGCUCUCUAUAAAUGAGUGGAUGCAAAAUGACACAUCUUCAAUUUUUCAUUUGUGUUUGAUUAAUUAUUUACUAGCAAUAUAUAGCUCUCCGUAUUCCCUUUCAAAUUCUAAGGCAGUUGCAAUUUCACAGGAAUUGGAAACGAAAACCCAUUUUAAUGUUUGAAAAAAGAAAAGGUCAUCUCAAGGACCCAGUAGUGGAACAAGAAGAGGAAGAAGAAGCUGCAUAUAUACAAAGGGAAAAUGGUAGCGAAAUGGGCCUUCACUCACCCGCAGCGGAGCGGGGGCUGCAUUCUAGUGUAUAUAGGAAGCUGGAGAAACAGGAUGUCUGAACCUUGGUGAUGGCCGACAACCUUGCUCAGAUUGUUCUUCUAUAGCGGUCACGAAUUUAGAGGAAUGCAAUUUCAUAAUCCAAAAUGUGUUUGAAUUCUACAGAAUAUUAAAUCUCAAAGUGGAUGAAAAAAUUCCCAUCUUCUUCGUCGACAAGAUUCAAAUGAGCAGAAUAUCUCAAGAUGGUGCGGCUGGUAUGUUCAUUCCAAGUAUAUCGGCUCUCUUUACAAUGUCAUCGCAGUUAAAAUAAUGGUUAUUUUAACUAGAUUUAUUAUAUGCAGAAUUCAAACGAUUGAAAAAUAUUCC
Long non-coding RNA from Rosa rugosa (rugosa rose), 2183 nucleotides. RefSeq lists it as uncharacterized. NCBI's taxonomy places the organism in Eukaryota, Viridiplantae, Streptophyta, Magnoliopsida, Rosales, Rosaceae. The record is from RefSeq and is a predicted model, not a curated record. The transcript is spliced from 15 exons.